UACGUAGGUGGCGAGCGUUGUCCGGAUUUAUUGGGCGUAAAGCGCGCGCAGGCGGUCGCGUAAGUCUGCUGUGAAAUCUCCCUGGCUCAACCGGGAGGGGGCGGCGGAGACUGCGGGACUGGAGGGACCUAGAGGCCGGUGGAAUUCCCGGUGUAGUGGUGGAAUGCGUAGAGAUCGGGAGGAACACCAGUGGCGAAAGCGGCUCUCUGGUCCAAAACUGACGCUGAGGGGCGAAAGCGUGGGGAGCGAACGGG
RNAcentral lists this ribosomal RNA (254 nucleotides) under uncultured bacterium. Its description in RNAcentral is "partial 16S ribosomal RNA". It matches the Rfam family "Bacterial small subunit ribosomal RNA", at positions 524 to 776 of the family's 1533-position model. The record is from RNAcentral.